UAGGGAAUCUUCGGCAAUGGGGGCAACCCUGACCGAGCAACGCCGCGUGAGUGAAGAAGGUUUUCGGAUCGUAAAGCUCUGUUGUAAGUCAAGAACGGGUGUGAGAGUGGAAAGUUCACACUGUGACGGUAGCUUACCAGAAAGGGACGGCUAACUACGUGCCAGCAGCCGCGGUAAUACGUAGGUCCCGAGCGUUGUCCGGAUUUAUUGGGCGUAAAGCGAGCGCAGGCGGUUUGAUAAGUCUGAAGUUAAAGGCUGUGGCUCAACCAUAGUUCGCUUUGGAAACUGUCAAACUUGAGUGCAGAAGGGGAGAGUGGAAUUCCAUGUGUAGCAGUGAAAUGCGUAGAUAUAUGGAGGAACACCGGUGGCGAAAGCGGCUCUCUGGUCUGUAACUGACGCUGAGGCUCGAAAGCGUGGGGAGCGAACAGGAUUAGAUACCCUGGUAGUCCACGCCGUAAACGAUGAGUGCUAGGUGUUGGAUCCUUUCCGGGAUUCAGUGCCGCAGCUAACGCAUUAAGCACUCCGCCUGGGGAGUACGACCGCAAGGUUGAAA
This 553-nucleotide ribosomal RNA is filed under the name uncultured bacterium. RNAcentral describes it as "partial 16S ribosomal RNA". It matches the Rfam family "Bacterial small subunit ribosomal RNA", at positions 355 to 899 of the family's 1533-position model. The record is from RNAcentral.